This 253-nucleotide ribosomal RNA is filed under the name uncultured bacterium. RNAcentral's name for it is "partial 16S ribosomal RNA". It matches the Rfam family "Bacterial small subunit ribosomal RNA", at positions 524 to 776 of the family's 1533-position model. The record is from RNAcentral.
UACGGGGGGGGCUAGCGUUAUUCGGAAUCAUUGGGCGUAAAGGGCGCGUAGGCGGCGCGGUAAGUCAAAGGUGAAAUCCCUCGGCUCAACUGAGGAACUGCCUUUGAAACUGCCGUGCUUGAGUCCGGGAGGGGGUAGCGGAAUUCCCAGUGUAGCGGUGAAAUGCGUAGAUAUUGGGAGGAACACCAGUGGCGAAGGCGGCUCUCUGGACAGGUACUGACGCUGAGACGCGAAAGCGUGGGUAGCAAACAGG